RNAcentral lists this unclassified non-coding RNA (21 nucleotides) under synthetic construct. Its description in RNAcentral is "S1A stem-loop RNA from synthetic construct (PDB 2FY1, chain B)". The record is from RNAcentral.
GGACUGUCCACAAGACAGUCC